This 616-nucleotide ribosomal RNA is filed under the name Escherichia coli O157:H7. Its description in RNAcentral is "partial 23S ribosomal RNA". It matches the Rfam family "Bacterial large subunit ribosomal RNA", at positions 360 to 979 of the family's 2925-position model. The record is from RNAcentral. Lineage: Bacteria; Pseudomonadati; Pseudomonadota; Gammaproteobacteria; Enterobacterales; Enterobacteriaceae.
CAGGGUGACAGCCCCGUACACAAAAAUGCACAUGCUGUGAGCUCGAUGAGUAGGGCGGGACACGUGGUAUCCUGUCUGAAUAUGGGGGGACCAUCCUCCAAGGCUAAAUACUCCUGACUGACCGAUAGUGAACCAGUACCGUGAGGGAAAGGCGAAAAGAACCCCGGCGAGGGGAGUGAAAAAGAACCUGAAACCGUGUACGUACAAGCAGUGGGAGCACGCUUAGGCGUGUGACUGCGUACCUUUUGUAUAAUGGGUCAGCGACUUAUAUUCUGUAGCAAGGUUAACCGAAUAGGGGAGCCGAAGGGAAACCGAGUCUUAACUGGGCGUUAAGUUGCAGGGUAUAGACCCGAAACCCGGUGAUCUAGCCAUGGGCAGGUUGAAGGUUGGGUAACACUAACUGGAGGACCGAACCGACUAAUGUUGAAAAAUUAGCGGAUGACUUGUGGCUGGGGGUGAAAGGCCAAUCAAACCGGGAGAUAGCUGGUUCUCCCCGAAAGCUAUUUAGGUAGCGCCUCGUGAAUUCAUCUCCGGGGGUAGAGCACUGUUUCGGCAAGGGGGUCAUCCCGACUUACCAACCCGAUGCAAACUGCGAAUACCGGAGAAUGUUAUCACG